RNAcentral lists this unclassified non-coding RNA (302 nucleotides) under Pichia bruneiensis. RNAcentral's name for it is "sequence contains 18S rRNA gene, ITS1, 5.8S rRNA gene, ITS2". The stretch from base 21 to 173 matches the Rfam family "5.8S ribosomal RNA". Rfam says of the family: 5.8S ribosomal RNA (5.8S rRNA) is a component of the large subunit of the eukaryotic ribosome. Lineage: Eukaryota; Fungi; Ascomycota; Pichiomycetes; Pichiales; Pichiaceae. The record is from RNAcentral.
UCAACACGAGAAAUCCACAAAACUUUCAACAACGGAUCUCUUGGUUCUCGCAUCGAUGAAGAGCGCAGCGAAAUGCGAUACCUAGUGUGAAUUGCAGCCAUCGUGAAUCAUCGAGUUCUUGAACGCACAUUGCGCCCGCCGGCAUUCCGGCGGGCAUGCCUGUCUGAGCGUCGUUUCCUUCUUGGGGCGGAGCUUCAGACCUGGGCGGGGAGGCGUGUUUUCCCCGGCUCAAAGCGAGGGCCGGUCUGCGCGAACUAGUGUGUGCGCGCGGGCGGGCAGCGAACUUAACCGAGCUCGACCUC